RNAcentral lists this ribosomal RNA (253 nucleotides) under uncultured bacterium. RNAcentral's name for it is "partial 16S ribosomal RNA". It matches the Rfam family "Bacterial small subunit ribosomal RNA", at positions 524 to 776 of the family's 1533-position model. The record is from RNAcentral.
UACAGGGGGUGCAAACGUUGCUCGGAAUCAUUGGGCGUAAAGCGCACGUAGGCGGUCUGUUAUGUCGGAUGUGAAAGCCCUUGGCUCAACUGAGGAAGUGCAUCCGAAACUGGCAGGCUAGAGUACUAAGGAGGAUCGCGGAAUUCCCGGUGUAGAGGUGAAAUUCGUAGAUAUCAGGAGGAACACCAAUGGCGAAGGCAGCUCGCUGGGACGUGACUGACGCUGAGACGCGAAAGCGUGGGGAGCAAACAGG